Hipposideros armiger (great roundleaf bat) is the source of this 1589-nucleotide long non-coding RNA. RefSeq lists it as uncharacterized. The record is from RefSeq and is a predicted model, not a curated record. Lineage: Eukaryota; Metazoa; Chordata; Mammalia; Chiroptera; Hipposideridae. The transcript has 4 exons.
CAGCUGUUCUCCCUGGGCCAGCAGCCGCAGCGACUGUGUUUGCACCGGGACUCAGGACCCGCCUCCCACCCUGGCAGCGCGGCCACCAUUCCGGACAGAACAGGUGCCCCAGAGAGGCAAGUAUUCAAGGGAUGCUUCACAAAACAGCUUCCUCAAUCCCCAACCCCCUGCCCCCCGCUCCCCGCCCCUAUUCUGCAGCUCUUGCGGAAGGCGCGACGAGCUGGCGGUGAAUGGUGAGGGAGUUUUUCCAGAAAGAAGUGGAGAACAGCGGUCCUCCUUUCGGGCCGUGGCGCCCCAUGCCAGGUAAAGUCCAGACCAGGGUCCCCCGCCCAGGUCAAGGGCUCGUGAUUGGAGGCGCAGCCGACUGGAGCUGAGAUUCGCGCGAGCUUAAUCAAGCCCGGGGCUGCUUCGGAGAAGGGGGCAGCCGGGCUUGGCAUCUGCCAAAGGUGCCGUGCCCGCCGCCCAAGUCACCACGAGGAGGGAAGGCGGCGAGGGAGCCUGGGGAGAGGGAGGCGGCUCUGCAGCCCGGCAGCUAAGCGCUCCUGCGAGGUGCUCAGCGCAAGUUGUGGGGACGUCUAGUCCUCGUACCCGCCCGCAGGGCGAUGCCAAAACCUGGCUUGCCAUUUGUCCGGCUCGGUCCGGCGCCGUCCCCGGAGCUGGGCAGUGCCACAGCCUCAAGAGCGCGCGCUCCGGACGCAACCUCCCCGAGCCCUCCCUCCGCCGCCUCAUCUCCCACGCGGCUCACCCCUCAGGUCCCCGAUGCAGCAGACCUGUGGCACGCAGAAAAACGGCGGGGUUAGGGGUUCCGGGCCUCCCCUCCCCGCCUUGCCAGCCACGAUCCGCCACAAGAUCCGAGCGCCUGGAGUCCCGGAUUCGCCUGUGGACGCCCCUACUGCCCAGUGCCGAAGGAGAAAACGUGAGAAGUGCCAGGAAGCAACUGUGUCAUCAUCUCAAUGCAAAGAGCUCUCUUCCUACCCUGUGCCACUGGCCUGUUACCCUUUUGGCCUGCAUUUUCAAUAACACGUAAAAAAAAACCCUGGAUGGAGACAAUGACCCUCUAAUUCAGUGUAAGAGCAGACCCAGCACUUCCCGGGAAGGCUUGUGACAGGACAGGAGCUCUGACAACAGCCCGGGAGAAGCCUUAGGGUGGUGUCACAGGCCGUGAGCCAGGCUCUGUACUAGGCGCUGGCAGGUAAUAACGAACGAGAGCCCCUGCUGUCACGGGGAGGAUUCUGACAGCAGGAUUCUCUCCCAGCUCUUUUAUGACACCUUGGAGUUGACCUAUUCCCACCUGAAAUGUAACCGAGGGCGCCCCGAGGAAGGCACGUUUUCCUAGGACUACCAGGGGCCCUAACCCCACGGGUUAACACCUUUUGCCUUCGUUAGCCUGGUUCUUAUAUUAAUAUGAGCUCAGGUCUUUGUAUCUGAUGUUCUAGCCCUUUCUCAACAGUGCUAAAGAGGCACAGGUUAUUUAUUAUUCCUCUUACUUUAAAAGAAAUAAAAGACAAGGCAUUCCUCCCUCUUCCUUGGUUAAAUGGGGAGGGGGGGGGGUCCUCAGCUCCCUGCAGUUUGGAGUCCAAGAGCUAGCA